This 484-nucleotide ribosomal RNA is filed under the name uncultured bacterium. Its description in RNAcentral is "partial 16S ribosomal RNA". It matches the Rfam family "Bacterial small subunit ribosomal RNA", at positions 30 to 507 of the family's 1533-position model. The record is from RNAcentral.
AUUGAACGCUGGCGGCAGGCCUAACACAUGCAAGUCGAGCGGAUGAAGGGAGCUUGCUCCUGGAUUCAGCGGCGGACGGGUGAGUAAUGCCUAGGAAUCUGCCUGGUAGUGGGGGAUAACGUCCGGAAACGGGCGCUAAUACCGCAUACGUCCUGAGGGAGAAAGUGGGGGAUCUUCGGACCUCACGCUCUCAGAUGAGCCUAGGUCGGAUUAGCUAGUUGGUGGGGUAAAGGCCUACCAAGGCGACGAUCCGUAACUGGUCUGAGAGGAUGAUCAGUCACACUGGAACUGAGACACGGUCCAGACUCCUACGGGAGGCAGCAGUGGGGAAUAUUGGACAAUGGGCGAAAGCCUGAUCCAGCCAUGCCGCGUGUGUGAAGAAGGUCUUCGGAUUGUAAAGCACGUUAAGUUGGGAGGAAGGGCAGUAAGUUAAUACCUUGCUGUUUUGACGUUACCAACAGAAUAAGCACCGGCUAACUUCGUG